AGAGUUUGAUCCUGGCUCAGGAUGAACGCUAGCUACAGGCUUAACACAUGCAAGUCGAGGGGCAGCAUAAAAGUUUGCUUGCAAACUUUUGAUGGCGACCGGCGCACGGGUGAGUAACACGUAUCCAACCUGCCUCAUACUCGGGGAUAGCCUUUCGAAAGAAAGAUUAAUACCCGAUGUCAUAGUCCUACCGCAUGAUGGGAUUAUUAAAGAAUUUCGGUAUGGGAUGGGGAUGCGUUCCAUUAGUUAGUUGGCGGGGUAACGGCCCACCAAGACAACGAUGGAUAGGGGUUCUGAGAGGAAGGUCCCCCACAUUGGAACUGAGACACGGUCCAAACUCCUACGGGAGGCAGCAGUGAGGAAUAUUGGUCAAUGGACGAGAGUCUGAACCAGCCAAGUAGCGUGAAGGAUGACUGCCCUAUGGGUUGUAAACUUCUUUUAUAUGGGAAUAAAAUGUUCCACGUGUGGGAUUUUGUAUGUACCAUAUGAAUAAGGAUCGGCUAACUCCGUGCCAGCAGCCGCGGU
RNAcentral lists this ribosomal RNA (525 nucleotides) under uncultured bacterium. RNAcentral's name for it is "bacterial SSU rRNA". It matches the Rfam family "Bacterial small subunit ribosomal RNA", at positions 8 to 521 of the family's 1533-position model. The record is from RNAcentral.